This 423-nucleotide ribosomal RNA is filed under the name uncultured bacterium. Its description in RNAcentral is "bacterial SSU rRNA". It matches the Rfam family "Bacterial small subunit ribosomal RNA", at positions 207 to 622 of the family's 1533-position model. The record is from RNAcentral.
AAGACCUUGCGCUUUUGGAGCGGCCGAUGCCUGAUUAGCUUGUUGGUAAGGUAAAAGCUUACCAAGGCUUCGAUCAGUAGCUGGUCUGAGAGGACGGCCAGCCACACUGGGACUGAGACACGGCCCAGACUCCUACGGGAGGCAGCAGUGGGGAAUUUUGGACAAUGGGGGCAACCCUGAUCCAGCCAUGCCGCGUGAGUGAAGAAGGCCUUCGGGUUGUAAAGCUCUUUCAGCCGGAACGAAACGGUUACGGUUAAUACCCGUGAUUACUGACGGUACCGGAAGAAGAAGCACCGGCUAACUACGUGCCAGCAGCCGCGGCAAUACGUAGGGUGCGAGCGUUAAUCGGAAUUACUGGGCGUAAAGCGUGCGCAGGUGGUUUUGUAAGUCAGAUGUGAAAGCCCCGGGCUCAACCUGGGAACU